Molecule: transfer-messenger RNA, 353 nt
Filed under: Pseudomonas aeruginosa
Lineage: Bacteria; Pseudomonadati; Pseudomonadota; Gammaproteobacteria; Pseudomonadales; Pseudomonadaceae
Also listed under: 1 other name
Description: Standard tmRNA
Rfam family: transfer-messenger RNA
About the family: Bacterial tmRNA, also known as 10Sa RNA or SsrA, is named for its dual tRNA and mRNA-like properties. Its role is to liberate the mRNA from a stalled ribosome.
Source: RNAcentral
GGGGCCGAUUAGGAUUCGACGCCGGUAACAAAACUUGAGGGGCAUGCCGAGCUGGUAGCAGAACUCGUAAAUUCGCUGCUGCAAACUUAUAGUUGCCAACGACGACAACUACGCUCUAGCUGCUUAAUGCGGCUAGCAGUCGCGAGGGGAUGCCUGUAAACCCGAAACGACUGUCAGAUAGAACAGGAUCGCCGCCAAGUUCGCUGUAGACGUAACGGCUAAAACUCAUACAGCUCGCUCCAAGCACCCUGCCACUCGGGCGGCGCGGAGUUAACUCAGUAGAGCUGGCUAAGCAUGUAGAACCGAUAGCGGAGAGCUGGCGGACGGGGGUUCAAAUCCCCCCGGCUCCACCA